GGGUUUGACAUGCACAGGACGCGUCUAGAGAUGGGCGUUCCCUUGUGGCCUGUGUGCAGGUGGUGCAUGGCUGUCGUCAGCUCGUGUCGUGAGAUGUUGGGUUAAGUCCCGCAACGAGCGCAACCCUUGUCUCAUGUUGCCAGCACGUUAUGGUGGGGACUCGUGAGAGACUGCCGGGGUCAACUCGGAGGAAGGUGGGGAUGACGUCAAGUCAUCAUGCCCCUUAUGUCCAGGGCUUCACACAUGCUACAAUGGCCGGUACAAAGGGCUGCGAUGCCGUGAGGUGGAGCGAAUCCUUGGUAAAGCCGGUCUCAGUUCGGAUCGGGGUCUGCAACUCGACCCCGUGAAGUCGGAGUCGCUAGUAAUCGCAGAUCAGCAACGCUGCGGUGAAUACGUUCCC
Molecule: ribosomal RNA, 400 nt
Filed under: uncultured Mycobacterium sp.
Lineage: Bacteria; Bacillati; Actinomycetota; Actinomycetes; Mycobacteriales; Mycobacteriaceae
Description: bacterial SSU rRNA
Rfam family: Bacterial small subunit ribosomal RNA
Source: RNAcentral